Molecule: long non-coding RNA, 853 nt
Filed under: Trifolium pratense (red clover)
Lineage: Eukaryota; Viridiplantae; Streptophyta; Magnoliopsida; Fabales; Fabaceae
Description: long non-coding RNA (TPRA_LNC005845)
Source: RNAcentral
UCCAAAUUGAUAAGAACACUACAUAUAUAUAAGACUCUUAAUGGGCCUAGAGGAUAAAGCCCAACUAAACAAAACCCAAUAGCAUAGAUGAUCAACUUAUAAUAUAAAUACUAUGUCUCAUUGAUAUCUAAAUUAUUUGACUAACUACCACUUAUAAUUAUUUAACUAAUUACUCCCUAAUCUUCUAUCAUUGCCGCCGGGUUCACUUGAACCUUGUCCUCAAGAAGGUUCAGCGGCUAGUCUGGAGGAAUUAAAUUGGAGUGUGACUCGGGAUAUAUAAUUUUUUGUCAAAAAAAGUUUUGCCCAUAAAAACAUUGGGCUAGCUAAUGCUUUGCGGCCCAUAGUUGUUUUGGUGGAAACCAAUUGUUGCGUGUCACUUGAAUUUUGCCUUGCAAUUUUGUGAAUAAAGCUGGAAACCAAUUGUUGCAUGUGCCAACACGUGGAGUGCUUGUAGGAGUGUCACCAUCAUUAUGGGGUGGAUUUGAAAUCACCAGCUGGUGAGUUGAAUUACCACUACGCAGUAGAAACAAAAACACAUUACGUGUUGUUGUUGUAGUGUAUGGUAGGCUUGACACAUGGCACACUACUAGAGGCGAGAUCACAAACAAAGAGAUUGUGCUUUCCAUGGACGUCCAUGAUUCAUCUGUUGAAGAAAUAUUCCAAUCAGACGGUGAAAAACAAUUGCGGUUGUGACGAUGAAAUACGUGCUCUUGCAAAAUGGAAUACGAUGAUGGUGGUAGAAACUCAGUCAGUGAAUCUUCAUAUUUCGGCUUCGGCGGUGGCCGCGAAAGUGGGUUUGUGAACGGCGUCUCUGACGAAAGCGGUGGAGCCUGAGUUGGAAGUGGAGUCUGAA